AAAUAAAUUCAAACAACUGUGUUUUAUGACGAAACUUACUCUGGUUUAUUAUUUUGAGAAAACGCCCCCUGCUUAUUAACCUUACGAAGACGAAACUACUAAUUUAUGUAUGGGUACCAAAGCUCUGGGCGUGAAGACUAACUCACAAGUCACUGGAAAAACGUGCAUGGAAAGCAUGGACACAGAAAACCCAAACACUCAUUGUAGCUGAUGGCGAUAUGCUUGAAUCUUUGGGCCGACUUUGGGGUGAGGGAGGGGGGAUGACGCGCAGCAAUCACCACGGAUCGGGCUCAAACCCGGGCCGGUGCGGUUGGGACUGAGCCUUCAUGGUACACGCCCUACCAGAUGAGCCACCUGGAUAUUCUUUAAUUAGAUUUCUUAUUAUCGGCUAAUUAACGGGGAGAUUUUCUGAACGUAGUUUCUUGCCGGGAGCUUCAGCCGUCGUUGCGUUUACAAGAAAAUUGGUUAUAAUACGCCCCCUGAGCGGCGCCACGUCUUCCGGGCAGAUUGGAGGCUACAGUGAGUUGCUACCAGAAAGUGAGGACACGGCUGGUUAGCAUGCUAACUUCAGUAAAAGAAAAGACGUGGUAGAGACAAGAGUGAACAUUGACGUUGCUUUCCGCUGCUGGAGACAACUCUUGGCGAGUAAAGUAAUGAAGUUUGAUGCUGAACUCGCAACGUUUCCUCUAGACUGCUCUCAGCUCCAUACCAGUCCCUGGAGCGGCCAGACACGACGGUGUGCACACAGCAAAGCCUAAAGGCAGUGGCGUUGACCAGUGACAGCAAUCAUGAGGAUGGCUGGGAUACUUCGGAUAAAGGACAUGUCCAUCAUGGUGGUGACAUUAGCGGUCAGCCCUCGGAGGCUGUUGCCCCCCUGCUGAGAGCUGUUGGAGUUGGGG
Long non-coding RNA from Seriola aureovittata, 899 nucleotides. RefSeq lists it as uncharacterized. The transcript has 3 exons. NCBI's taxonomy places the organism in Eukaryota, Metazoa, Chordata, Actinopteri, Carangiformes, Carangidae. The record is from RefSeq and is a predicted model, not a curated record.